Molecule: unclassified non-coding RNA, 354 nt
Filed under: soil metagenome
Description: partial contains 5.8S ribosomal RNA, internal transcribed spacer 2, and large subunit ribosomal RNA
Rfam family: 5.8S ribosomal RNA (bases 1-120)
Source: RNAcentral
GAUGAAGAACGUAGCGAAAUGCGAUAAGUAAUGUGAAUUGCAGAAUUCCGUGAAUCAUCGAAUCUUUGAACGCACAUUGCGCCCCCUGGCAUUCCGGGGGGCAUGACUGUCCGAGCGUCAUUUCUGCCCUCCAGCCCGGCUGGGUGUUGGGCGCUGUCCCCCCGGGGACACGCCCCAAAGGCAGUGGCGGCGCCGCGUCGGGUCCUCGAGCGUAUGGGGCUUUGUCACCCGCUCGGGACGGACUCGUCGGCGCUGGUCUUCCUCCAGGCGACCCUUCGGGGCUCGUCUUCCUUCGGUUGACCUCGGAUCAGGUAGGGUUACCCGCUGAACUUAAGCAUAUCAAUAAGCGGAGGA